This 468-nucleotide ribosomal RNA is filed under the name uncultured bacterium. RNAcentral describes it as "partial 16S ribosomal RNA". It matches the Rfam family "Bacterial small subunit ribosomal RNA", at positions 28 to 507 of the family's 1533-position model. The record is from RNAcentral.
GACGAACGCUGGCGGCGUGCUUAACACAUGCAAGUCGAACGGAAAGGCCCUGCUUUUGUGGGGUGCUCGAGUGGCGAACGGGUGUGUAACACGUGAGUAACCUGCCCUCGACUUUGGGAUAACUUCAGGAAACUGGGGCUAAUACCGGAUAGGAGCUCCUGCUGCAUGGUGGGGGUUGGAAAGUUUCGGCGGUUGGGGAUGGACUCGCGGCUUAUCAGCUUGUUGGUGGGGUAGUGGCUUACCAAGGCUUUGACGGGUAGCCGGCCUGAGAGGGUGACCGGCCACAUUGGGACUGAGAUACGGCCCAGACUCCUACGGGAGGCAGCAGUGGGGAAUAUUGCACAAUGGGCGGAAGCCUGAUGCAGCAACGCCGCGUGCGGGAUGACGGCCUUCGGGUUGUAAACCGCUUUCGCCUGUGACGAAGCGUGAGUGACGGUAAUGGGUAAAGAAGCACCGGCUAACUACGUG